This 486-nucleotide ribosomal RNA is filed under the name uncultured bacterium. Its description in RNAcentral is "partial 16S ribosomal RNA". It matches the Rfam family "Bacterial small subunit ribosomal RNA", at positions 30 to 507 of the family's 1533-position model. The record is from RNAcentral.
AUCGAACGCUGGCGGCAUGCCUUACACAUGCAAGUCGAACGGCAGCACUGUGCCUUGCACCUGUGCGCGAGUGGCGAACGGGUGAGUAAUACAUCGGUACCUGUCCUUUAGCGGGGGGUAACCCUGCGAAAGCUGGAGUAAUACCGCAUUCGAUCCACGUAUGAAAGCGUGGGGCUUGCAAGCCUCGCGCUGUUGGGUUGGCCGAUGGCUGUUUAGAUCGUUGGUGGGGUAAAGUCCUACCAAAGCGAGGUCCAGUAGCUGGUCCCAGAGGACGACCGACCACAUUGGGAGUGGACCACGGCCAAGACUCCUAAGGGAGGCAGCAGUGGGGUAUUUUGGACAAUGGGCGAAAGCAUGGCCCAGCGGUGGCGCGUGUGUGACGAAGGCCUUCCGGUUGUGAAGAACUUUUGUGCGGAAAGAAAUGCUUGGCGCUAAUACAGUCGGGGGAUGACGGUAACGGAUGAAUAAGCACCGGCUAACUACGUG